ACUAAACUUAAAGGAAAAAAAAAAGCUGAGAAAUGCUUAAAAAGAGGUUCUGCCUAAAAGGUAGAAGAAGCCGGAAGUUUCGCUCAACUUUUGCCAAAAUGAAAUAAAGAGAAAAUUUCCCUCAUUCAGACGAGCACUCAGGCCAUGUGUAGCUAAAUUGCGCAAACGAAAAAAACGCUUUUGCUAAAUGCUGGCGAGCGAAAAACUUGUAAUUCAAUUUUGGCCAACUUUGCCCAAAUGCAAGCCAAAUGUAAUUAACACGCACACGGACACUCGCACAGGCGUUCGAAUCUGCUGCAAUGGAGUGGCAAAACGACUUGUACA
This 324-nucleotide small RNA is filed under the name Drosophila yakuba. Its description in RNAcentral is "GE28292". The record is from RNAcentral. Lineage: Eukaryota; Metazoa; Arthropoda; Insecta; Diptera; Drosophilidae.